RNAcentral lists this long non-coding RNA (1239 nucleotides) under Cervus hanglu yarkandensis (Yarkand deer). RNAcentral's name for it is "lncRNA (ENSCHYG00000022389.1)". Lineage: Eukaryota; Metazoa; Chordata; Mammalia; Artiodactyla; Cervidae. The record is from RNAcentral.
UCUGAAUCCCACUGGAUUGGGCUGGGGAUCGGACUAACUCCACUUCCCCUCCCCGCCAGGGAUGGGGCCAACAGUUUUCCUCAAUCCUUCCACGUGCUGGGUGCGUCCUGCUGUCGUUCUCAGACGACGCCUGCCCUGCGGGCAUCCCUAGGGGCUAAUGGGUUCAGCCCGACCGCCUUAGCGUCCCCAACAUCAGACUCGAGUUUGCCAGGCACUCAAGGUUAGGCUGCCUGUUACUUCGUGUGACCACGGAUGUGAAAAUCUACCCAAAACAAAGGUGCCCACAAAUGGCUACCGGAGGGAGCAGCUGAGACCUGCGCCCUCCCCACCUCCUCCCUUUGACCUCCGUGCGCUGGGGAACACAUGCCCUGCAUGCCCCACUCGUUUGGUGCUCCCUCCAGGCGCUCCUCACACAGGCCCCGUUAGGACUCGGCUGCCUGGGACUGAGGUCCCACCUCCUCUCCCCUUCGCCGCCCCCCACCCUGCGCCCACCCCUGGGCUGGUCCCUGCCUGCUCUGGCCCACGUUGCCACCAAGCUUAUGUAGGAGAAAACCCAGCGGAGGGUGGCCUGGGAAGGCGGGAGGUUUCCCGGCCCAUUCAAACGGCAGCCCAGCAGUAACAGUAAAACCGCAUCAGCGGCGGCGGGUGAGAUGCCUGUGGCGGCUUUUUAAAAGGCGUGGAAGGCCAAGGAGGGGCUGGGGAGUGACCCAGAGCCCGAGGGCUGUGCUGUUUAUCUUCUGGGACCGAGCCUGGGAAAAGCCCCGGUGUAACACCAAGAGACAGUGCCUUGGCAGUGUCACCGGAGCAAUGAGGAGCCAUCCUUCUUCCUUCAAAGCCCCUCUUCUGCUUAUUUACAACUUCAAGUUUAUAUUUCAAAUCUUGAUGCUUAGUUGUUGUUAUUUUUUUUAAAAAGUAGAACAUUUACCAAUGUGUUUAGAAUUAUUUUUGUAUGUUCCCUAUUACUGUUGUUUGUAGGAUUUUCUUCUCCUUUUUGUCUUUUCUUUCUCCCCUCCUGCAGUAUUGGCAACCCCAUAGGAAGAGCUUUAGUGGGGAGGGUGAAAUUGACCGGUUCAUUCUUACUAUCACAAAAAGCAGCAUAAACACUGUCUCUCCAUUCUUAAUAUAAUCCUUUAAAAAAAUGAAGCAAACAGCCACUUAGGCAGGAACCGGUUAAGACUGAGAAACGGCUAAUACUAGGACACUAGCUAAUCCUGUCUCUUUAAGAAAAAUCCAUAAAGC